UAAAAAGUUUUCUAGAUUUUUAUUAGUAUGCGAUGAUUUAUAUGAUUAUAUAUCAAAAUUUUAAUGACUUACUCAAUUAGUUACGCACAUGACUUUUUUACACAUAUGUAUGUGUUUAUACAUCAUCACCGAAAUUUAAAAAUGUUUUUUAACAUCUUAUAAUAGAUAUGUAUUUAGAGAGAAGAAAACAUAACACGUCGAUGGUCAUUUAAAAUUCAAUUUCUGUGGCAUUUUAUCUUCGGCGACCACUGAAUCGAUUCCGGACGACACACGUGACGCCCACGUGAUCAGACCACAGAGGCACUUGUCCUCGGUAGCACACACACCGAACAACGAGUUAGAACCGUAUAUAGAGAAAGCAUUAUUUAGAGUCCUACAUUGUAUUUGUACAUGAUAACACAUUGUCAUAUUAACCAGUCGAACUCCUCGACCCAGGAUUUUCGGAUACAGAGGUUGAGGUUAGCGCGUAGACACGUGCCACUGUUUUUUUAUGUCUUAAUAACAUAUGUAUUCAUGUGUUAUGUUACAUAUGUGUGUAUAUAUGCGUGUGAAGUUGGAUUUCUCAUUCAAAAACAUGCGAGUUAUAUUUUUCGUCCUUGUCAUUAUUCUUCUCGCUUCGCAUAUGCACCCCCACUUCCCACUAUUAGUAACGUAUAUGUUACAUACAUGUAUUUAUACACAUAUAGUAGCGACAUGAGUGUAAUAGACUCGAGCAAGGCCGCACCAGUCUAUAGAUACUGAUCGACCGACUGAGACGUAAUUUUCGUGGCAGUUUAUGAUCUACAAAACUUCAAAGCUCAAUUCUGGAUUGAAUAUCAUAGAUAUGGAAUAAUCGAUAAGAAUCCUCUUCGUAGAACACAUUUGGUAACUUUAAAAGCACAAUAUGCAUUGGAGAAACAAAGGAAUAAUAGAAUAGAAGUAAAACUUUUUACGAAGUGAAUUUGACACCACCUGUUGCGACUGAAAGAGAAUUACGGCGCAAAAGAAACGUAGAUUAUUGUGGAUAGUGGUUACCACUUACU
Molecule: long non-coding RNA, 1022 nt
Organism: Cotesia glomerata
Lineage: Eukaryota; Metazoa; Arthropoda; Insecta; Hymenoptera; Braconidae
Exons: 3
Source: RefSeq, a predicted model, not a curated record